Molecule: ribosomal RNA, 207 nt
Filed under: uncultured bacterium
Lineage: Bacteria
Description: partial 16S ribosomal RNA
Rfam family: Bacterial small subunit ribosomal RNA
Source: RNAcentral
UCGGAUUGCAGGCUGCAACUCGCCUGCAUGAAGCUGGAAUUGCUAGUAAUCGCGGAUCAGCAAGCCGCGGUGAAUACGUUCCCGGGCCUUGUACACACCGCCCGUCACACCAUGAGAGUCGGGAACACCCGAAGUCCGUAGUCUAACCGCAAGGGGGCGCGGCCGAAGGUGGGCUUGAUAAUUGGGGUGAAGUCGUAACAAGGUAUC